This 253-nucleotide ribosomal RNA is filed under the name uncultured bacterium. Its description in RNAcentral is "partial 16S ribosomal RNA". It matches the Rfam family "Bacterial small subunit ribosomal RNA", at positions 524 to 776 of the family's 1533-position model. The record is from RNAcentral.
UACGAAGGGGACUAGCGUUGUUCGGAAUCACUGGGCGUAAAGCGCACGUAGGCGGCGCCGCAAGUGUCGGGUGAAAUCCCACGGCUUACCCGUGGAACUGCCUGGCAGACUGCGGUGCUAGAGGAUGGUAGGGGAAAGCGGAACUCCUGGUGGAGCGGUGAAAUGCGUAGAUAUCAGGAGGAACACCGGUGGCGAAGGCGGCUCUCUGGUCCAUGACUGACGCUGAGGUGCGAAAGCUAGGGGAGCAAACAGG